CUCGAUCCAGUAACAACGUUGCUAAAGCCAAAUCUACUUAUCAACUCAUCGCAGCGCAAGUCUGGCGACUUGUUAUCUAGAUAAAGACAAAAGACAACAAUUUGAAGGAUCUUCAGAACCCCUUAUCAACUCAUCGCAGAGUAAGACACUGGAGACUUGUUGCCUAUAUAAAGAAAAAAAGACAGCAAAUUAAAGGAU
Molecule: long non-coding RNA, 198 nt
Organism: Argiope bruennichi
Lineage: Eukaryota; Metazoa; Arthropoda; Arachnida; Araneae; Araneidae
Exons: 3
Source: RefSeq, a predicted model, not a curated record